GAUGAACGCUAGCGGCAGGCUUAAUAACAUGCAAGUCGAGGGGCAGCGGGGGUAGCAAUACCUGCCGGCGACCGGCAAACGGGUGCGGAACACGUACAGAACCUUCCUUUAAGCGGGGAUAGCCCGGAGAAAUCCGGAUUAAUACCCCAUAGUAAUAUUGACUGGCAUCAGUUGGUAUUUAAAGAUUUAUCACUUAAAGAUGGCUGUGCGGCUGAUUAGGUAGUUGGUUGGGGUAACGCCCACCAAGCCAACGAUCAGUAACUGGUGUGAGAGCACGACCAGUCACACGGGCACUGAGACACGGGCCCGACUCCUACGGGAGCAGCAGUAAGGAAUAUGGUCAAUGGACNCAAGUCUGAACCAGCCAUGCCGCGUGAAGAU
Molecule: ribosomal RNA, 381 nt
Filed under: uncultured bacterium
Lineage: Bacteria
Description: bacterial SSU rRNA
Rfam family: Bacterial small subunit ribosomal RNA
Source: RNAcentral